AUGACAUGAUUUUGCACUCAAUCAACAGAUCUAUUUUAAGGAUGUCUCCUGUUCUAAACCAGAACUUAAGCUGCAAAGCUCAGUAGGUUCGCCAAUUAUUGAUCCCCAUCUCUCUCCAGAUGGAAGUAUGCUCGCUUACGUAAGAGAUGAUGAGCUGCAUGUUUUGAAUUUGUCAUAUGGCGAGCCUAAACAGUUAACAUUUGGUGCUAGAGGAAAUGCAAAGGUGAGGUUUGGUUCUUCCUUUCAUAUGUUCUCUAGUAUUUUCUUUUGACACCAGAUUAUGUUUGUUUCAAAUGUUGGGCUUGCUAUCUAAAAGAUAUAAGGCUACCGUUUUCCAUUUAUGACCUGUAAAAGAAUGCCUACGGUUAAAGUAGCGAGGAAUGACAUCUAUGGUUAUGAAAUAUGAAUCCAAAAUGCUCAACUUCACUAGAAGCCAGCUUACAUUUUCCCCUGGUAGUAUAAGCAUUCACCUCUAUUUUUUAUUGUCCUGAGGUAAUCACAUAUUCCCACUUAGCUGGGAUAAGGCUUUGAUGAUGAGGAUAUGGGUGAGAUAAUUACAUGUGACCACUAGUCCAGAUUUUGUGGAAAGGAAAAGGUCAAUGGUAGAUGAAGAGAUUAAAGGAGAGUGGAAUUAUUUUGUAUUAAAGGAAAAGCACCUUUUUUUCAGAUUCAAAUUCACAUUACUAGGGUAAUUGGAAAAACAAACAGGCCCUUAGUUUAUUUUUGCAGUUGGAGAGCAUAUCCCAGUGAUAUAUAUCUGUUUUUCUUCUUUUGAUUUGGUAAUUCUUCACAAAGCACUGAGUUCACGAUCCAUGUGUUUUAGGUAAUUAAUUUGUAUUGAUGGAUCCAAUUAAGCAUCUCAUUGUUUUCAGGUUAUUGAGCUUCCAAUCAAGCACCCUGAAUUGUUUGAGAGUUUUGGAAUAGCUCAGCCAAAGUUCCUCAGGCAGAAGAGUGCAUUCUCCGAGUGGUGGAGAGGGCCAAUGUGCUAGUAAUUUAUCUGUCUACAGAUGCAGCUGAAAGUGAAACUGAUCUUCUACAGGCACUAACCAUGCAGAAUAGCAAGACCAUACCUCUAGUGAAAAGGCCAGGUCACAGCUCCUCGAAAUGGGAUCCAUUGUUGUAAAAAGGAGAGCUUAUUUUUACUCAUUUCUUUCUGUGAACUAAAGAGUAGAUAAAAAGAAACAAAUUAAACAAACCCAAACAAGAUUUAUAAUGAUCAAUUACUCAUAAGCAUAUAAUCAACUCAAUGCAGACUUGGGUCAGGCAGUCACUAGGUUUCUGUAGAACCUGGUGACAAAGGAGUGCUUGAAGAACUCAUUCCUGACCCAACUGAACUCUGAGUCAGAAUGUCUUGAGUCUGUGACAAGAUCCAACAUUUAUUUAUUUAUUAUCUGUGGACUCACAAAUUAGCCAUUUAGGUUUUCCCAGAACAUAAUGUGUGGAAUUUCAAAAACCUUCUCAUAACUACAUUUUUAUAUGGGUGAUUUUUGUUGGGAAGUAUCCUUGCACCUACCUGGGUUUAAGCUAUAUGUAUGCCUUUUUGUCCCUGAGGUUGAAGCCAUGCUGCAUAAGACGUUCUGUGCCAUGUUGAAUGUGUUCAUUGGGUCAUCGGGCUCGACAUUCAUUGAGGACAUAUUCCGGCUCCGGAAGGACUGGGGAUUAGCUUUGGUUUGUGAUGAGUAUAUGUGCCAAGGCGAGCAACCUAAUUUCAUAGCUGACGCGAAAUGAAGAAGAGUGGUGGUCAUGCUUUUGGUGUGCUUUCAUUCUUUUCACAUCAUCAAUGGCUAUGAUACACAACUCACCAAAUAUCGAUAGAAGAAACCAGUCUCUUAUAAACAAUGGCAAUCAUUGGCAACAAGGAGAUCAUUGACAUUAACCAAGGUAUGUUAGCUGCUUAGAUUGGUGU
Molecule: RNA transcript, 1906 nt
Organism: Magnolia sinica
Lineage: Eukaryota; Viridiplantae; Streptophyta; Magnoliopsida; Magnoliales; Magnoliaceae
Gene name: O-fucosyltransferase 36-like
Exons: 2
Source: RefSeq, a predicted model, not a curated record